This 497-nucleotide ribosomal RNA is filed under the name uncultured bacterium. Its description in RNAcentral is "partial 16S ribosomal RNA". It matches the Rfam family "Bacterial small subunit ribosomal RNA", at positions 28 to 507 of the family's 1533-position model. The record is from RNAcentral.
GAUGAACGCUGGCGGCGUGCCUAGUACAUGCAAGUCGAGCGAACAGAUGAGGAGCUUGCUCCUCUGACGUUAGCGGCGGACGGGUGAGUAACACGUGGAUAACCUACCUAUAAGACUGGGAUAACUUCGGGAAACCGGAGCUAAUACCGGAUAAUAUAUUGAACCGCAUGGUUCAAUAGUGAAAGACGAUUUUGCUGUCACUUAUAGAUGGAUCCGCGCCGCAUUAGCUAGUUGGUAAGGUAACGGCUUACCAAGGCAACGAUGCGUAGCCGACCUGAGAGGGUGAUCGGCCACACUGGAACUGAGACACGGUCCAGACUCCUACGGGAGGCAGCAGUAGGGAAUCUUCCGCAAUGGGCGAAAGCCUGACGGAGCAACGCCGCGUGAGUGAUGAAGGUCUUCGGAUCGUAAAACUCUGUUAUUAGGGAAGAACAAAUGUGUAAGUAACUAUGCACGUCUUGACGGUACCUAAUCAGAAAGCCACGGCUAACUACGUG